UUCACCAAGUGUUGGAUUGUU
RNAcentral lists this small nuclear RNA (21 nucleotides) under Arabidopsis thaliana (thale cress). RNAcentral describes it as "snRNA_00562". Lineage: Eukaryota; Viridiplantae; Streptophyta; Magnoliopsida; Brassicales; Brassicaceae. The record is from RNAcentral.